CCAAUGGGACCGCGGCUCCGGAGCCGGCGCGCGGGGAGCCCGCCCCCCGCGCGGCGGCUCUCGAGGCGGGCGCAGGGCUCAGACGCUGCGGGCACGUCCGCUCCCGCAGCGCCGGCGCGCCCGGACAAGCCGGGUCUCUCCAGCCCCGCCGACUUUUAAGCGUUCGUUCGCCCGGGCUCCUCGCUUUUCCACCGCUCCUCGCUCCCGCAGACCCUCCGCUCUGCUCCGUCCCGUCGUUCUGCAGAAACAGAAGCCACACCUCCUGGCAUCCUGUCCACAGGGGGUGCCCCAGAGCUUACCCAAACCCAGAGAAUCUUCGAGUGCUCCAGGAUCACUGCACAGGCGUGGCACGGGGAGUAGUCAGGAGCUUGAACAACGUUGCGGGACUGUCACUUGUGCCAGGUUCUCUCGUGCCCACUUGCACUGCUGACGAAUAGAACCGGAAUCAACCCAGACCAAUGAUCCCGUCCAUAUUUAACUUGAGAGAAAUUUCAACUCUGAAUGAAUGGACUCUGGGAAAUCCCGGGUCUUGCUGAGAAGGGGGGAGAUCCAGAGAAAUCUGGUAACAGCAGGGAGAUGCCAGCGUAUCUGGGAUGUGUCCAUCAUCCAAGAGUUGCGGAGAUCUGCUCCUGCUGGAGCACUGUUGGAAUUCUCAGAACCAGAAUUUUGAAUUUGUAGGGGGGGGCCUUCAGAAUUGGUCUUUACAUCAAGAGGACAGAGAGGGAAGAAUUUAACUUCAUUCGGCACCGGUAUUCUAGGCUUGAAUUGGUUGGAGAUGAUGGAAAAUCUGUUGAUGAAAAUUAUACAAACCUUGGUUCUUUGUGUUAACCAGGUCUCCCUUUUUUUGAGAUAAAGUAAACUUGUAUUUUAAGUUCAGAUGUCUUGGGACACCUGAGUGGCUCAGUCGGUUAAGCCUCUGACUUUGGCUCAGGUUAUGAUCUCACAGUUCGUGGGUUCGAGCCCCUGCAUCCGGCUCUGUGCUGACAGCCCAGAGCCUGGAGUCUGCUUCAGUUUCUAUGUCUCCCUCUCUCUCUGCCCCGCUGGUGCUCUCUCUCUCUCUCUUUUAAAAAUAAGUAAACAUUAAAAAAGUAAUAAAGUAAAAAUAAGUUCAGAUGCCUUUGCAAAAUCUCUGAGAAUAACAAACUGUGAACCAUUACUUUUCUUUGAAGACUGGAGGUAGCAAAAUCUUGUGAAGACACUCUAAAACCUAGACCCUGUGUGUGCUUCGGAGCCCUGAAGAAGCCUGGAUAUCUAAAUCUCAAAUGUAGUCACGAGCCUAAACCUAGGAGUGAAGGAAACAAUAGAAACUUAUAUAGUCAGCACAUCAUUGACUACUACCAAGAAAUGUUUUGUGUUUGGUAGAAUCUGCACCUUUCUGACAUAUCUAACAUUUGAUGUUCAUAGAUGGCGUUCUCCCUCCCUCUCUGGUACAACUUGUUCCUGGGACCUAACU
Felis catus (domestic cat) is the source of this 1453-nucleotide long non-coding RNA. RefSeq lists it as uncharacterized. The record is from RefSeq and is a predicted model, not a curated record. NCBI's taxonomy places the organism in Eukaryota, Metazoa, Chordata, Mammalia, Carnivora, Felidae. The transcript is spliced from 2 exons.